RNAcentral lists this ribosomal RNA (1346 nucleotides) under metagenome. Its description in RNAcentral is "bacterial LSU rRNA". It matches the Rfam family "Bacterial large subunit ribosomal RNA", at positions 1564 to 2925 of the family's 2925-position model. The record is from RNAcentral.
UGAGUACGAGCUGCUACGGCAGCGAAGUGGGUGAUGUCAUGCUUCCAAGAAAAGCCCUAUACCCGUUAAGGCAUGAUGGCCUGUACCCGAAACCGACACAGGUGGGGUGGUAGAGAAUACCGAGGGGCGCGAGGUAACUCUCUCUAAGGAACUCGGCAAAAUGGCCCCGUAACUUCGGGAGAAGGGGUGCCACCGCAAGGUGGUCGCAGUGAAGAGGCCCAGGCGACUGUUUACCAAAAACACAGGUCUCCGCUAAGUCGCAAGACGAUGUAUGGGGGCUGACGCCUGCCCAGUGCCGGAAGGUUAAGGAAGCUGGUCAGCGUAAGCGAAGCUAGCGACUGAAGCCCCGGUGAACGGCGGCCGUAACGAUAACGGUCCUAAGGUAGCGAAAUUCCUUGUCGGGUAAGUUCCGACCCGCACGAAAGGCGUAACGAUCUGGGCGCUGUCUCGGAGAGAGGCUCGGCGAAAUAGAAUUGUCUGUGAAGAUGCGGACUACGUGCACCCGGACAGAAAGACCCUAUGAAGCUUUACUGUAGCUUGGUAUUGUGCUCGGGCUCGGAAUGCGCAGGAUAGGUGGGAGGCUAUGAACCAUUGCUUGCGGGUGAUGGUGAGCCACUGGUGAGAUACCACUCUUUCCGAGCUAGAGUUCUAACAGCCACCCGUUAUCCGGGGGCUGGACAGUAUCAGGUGGGCAGUUUGACUGGGGCGGUCGCCUCCUAAAAGGUAACGGAGGCGCGCAAAGGUUUGCUCAGGCUGGUUGGAAAUCAGCCGACGAGUGUAAAAGCAGAAGCAAGCUUGACUGUGAGACCUACAAGUCGAACAGGGAGGAAACUCGGCUUUAGUGAUCCGACGGUUCUGCGUGGAAGGGCCGUCGCUCAACGGAUAAAAGUUACUCUAGGAUAACAGGCUGAUCUCCCCCAAGAGUUCACAUCGACGGGGAGGUUUGGCACCUCGAUGUCGGCUCAUCGCAACCUGGGGCUGAAGUCGGUCCCAAGGGUUGGGCUGUUCGCCCAUUAAAGCGGUACGCGAGCUGGGUUCAGAACGUCGUGAGACAGUUCGGUCCAUAUCCGGUGCAUGCGCAGGAAUAUUGAGAGGAUUUCUCCCUAGUACGAGAGGACCGGGAGGAACGCACCUCUGGUGUACCAGUUAUCGUGCCAACGGUAAACGCUGGGUAGCCAUGUGCGGAGAGGAUAACCGCUGAAAGCAUCUAAGUGGGAAGCCCACCUCAAGAUGAGUAUUCCCAUGGGGUAACCCAGUAAGGUCACGGGAAGAACACCCGUUGAUAGGCUCUACGUGGAAGCGCAGUAAUGUGUGAAGCGGAGGAGUACUAAUAGACCGAGGGCUUG